This 225-nucleotide ribosomal RNA is filed under the name uncultured Thorsellia sp. RNAcentral describes it as "partial 16S ribosomal RNA". It matches the Rfam family "Bacterial small subunit ribosomal RNA", at positions 568 to 792 of the family's 1533-position model. The record is from RNAcentral. Lineage: Bacteria; Pseudomonadati; Pseudomonadota; Gammaproteobacteria; Enterobacterales; Thorselliaceae.
CAUGCAGGCGGUUACAUAAGUCAGAUGUGAAAUCCCCGCGCUUAACGUGGGCAUUGCAUUUGAAACUAUGUAGCUAGAGUUCUGUAGAGGGGGGUAGAAUUCCAGGUGUAGCGGUGAAAUGCGUAGAGAUCUGGAGGAAUACCGAUUGCGAAGGCAGCCCCCUGGGACAAUACUGACGCUCAUGCACGAAAGCGUGGGGAGCAAACAGGAUUAGAUACCCCAGUA